UAUACCGCCCCGGUACAACUGGGGGGAAAGAUUUAUCGGAGAGGGAUCAGCCCGCGUAAGAUUAGAUAGUUGGUGGGGUAAUGGCCUACCAAGUCUACGAUCUUUAGCUGGUUUUAGAGGAUGAUCAGCAACACUGGGACUGAGACACGGCCCAGACUCCUACGGGAGGCAGCAGUGGGGAAUCUUGGACAAUGGGCGCAAGCCUGAUCCAGCCAUGCCGCGUGAGUGAUGAAGGCCUUAGGGUCGUAAAGCUCUUUCGCCAGAGAUGAUAAUGACAGUAUCUGGUAAAGAAGUCCCGGCUAACUCCGUG
Molecule: ribosomal RNA, 310 nt
Filed under: uncultured bacterium
Lineage: Bacteria
Description: bacterial SSU rRNA
Rfam family: Bacterial small subunit ribosomal RNA
Source: RNAcentral